UUAGUUUGAUUCUAUCUAAAAGAUUAGUAGUUAUUAAUAAACCUUAUGCUUAACUUUUGUUAAUCUAAAUACUUAAACAAAUGAAAUAUAACAAAUUUGUAAGAUGUUUCAACAGCAGCGGUUAGAGCUAUGAUAAUGUGUUAACGCACGAAAUGAUUUAAAUUACCCUAGUCGGCAAAGUUCGUGCCAGCAGCAGCGGUUAUACGAUAGACGUCUAACAUUGAAAAUCUAUAAAGAUAUUUUAAGAGUAAUACAUAGGUCAAAUUUCUAUAUACUAUGUUCUAAUUAUAUCACUUAAUAAGCUAUAAACUAAAACAAGGAUUAGAUACCCUUUUAUUAUUAGUGUAAAAAAAGAUUGGAGACUACGAGCAAUAGCUUAAAAACCCAAGAAUUUGGCUGUAUCUUACUCAGUCAGGGGGACCUGUUAAAUAAAUCGACAGUCCACGAACAACUUACCUUAUCUUGAAUGCUUGACAGCAUGUGUACUGCCGUCCCAUAGAUCCUUAAGGGCCUCUAUAUGAAAAUAGUAUCAAUUUUACGUCAGGUCAAAGUGCAGCCAAUGGUAAGGAAUUAAUUGGUCACAUGAUAUAUUAAAUUUCAGAUUGUUAACAUAAAGUUAGCUCAAAGAAGAACUUGAUAGUAAUUACAUAAUACACUAAUGAAACUGAACCUAAGAUAAGCACAUAUCGCCCGUCACUCCUUUAUAUAGGAUAAGUCGUAACAUAGUAGAUGUAAUGGAAAUUGCAUCUGU
RNAcentral lists this ribosomal RNA (751 nucleotides) under Gastrostomobdella ampunganensis. RNAcentral describes it as "12S ribosomal RNA". Lineage: Eukaryota; Metazoa; Annelida; Clitellata; Hirudinida; Gastrostomobdellidae. The record is from RNAcentral.